Molecule: ribosomal RNA, 432 nt
Filed under: uncultured bacterium
Lineage: Bacteria
Description: partial 16S ribosomal RNA
Rfam family: Bacterial small subunit ribosomal RNA
Source: RNAcentral
AACGAACGCUGGCGGCAUGCCUAACACAUGCAAGUCGAACGAGACCUUCGGGUCUAGUGGCGCACGGGUGCGUAACGCGUGGGAACCUGCCCUUAGGUUCGGAAUAACUCCCCGAAAGGGGUGCUAAUACCGGAUAAUGUCUUCGGACCAAAGAUUUAUCGCCUUUGGAUGGGCCCGCGUUGGAUUAGCUAGUUGGUAGGGUAAAAGCCUACCAAGGCGACGAUCCAUAGCUGGUCUGAGAGGAUGAUCAGCCACACUGGGACUGAGACACGGCCCAGACCCCUACGGGGGGCAGGAGGGGGGAAUAUUGGACAAGGGGCGAAAGCCUGAUCCAGCAAUGCCGGGGGAGUGAGGAAGGCCUUAGGGUUUUAAAGCUCUUUUACCCGGGAUGAAAAUGACAGUACCGGGAAAAUAAGCCCCGGCUAACCCCGU